UACGUAGGGUGCAGGCGUUAAUCGGAAUUACUGGGCGUAAAGCGUGCGCAGGCGGUUUCUUAAGUCAGAUGUGAAAGCCCCGGGCUCAACCUGGGAAUGGCGAUGGAUACUGGCUCGCUAGAGUGCGGUAGAGGAGAGUGGAAUUCCCGGUGUAGCAGUGAAAUGCGUAGAGAUCGGGAGGAACAUCAGUUGCGAAGGCGGCUCUCUGGGCCAUUACUGACGCUGAGGAGCGAAAGCGUGGGGAGCGAACAGG
This 253-nucleotide ribosomal RNA is filed under the name uncultured bacterium. RNAcentral's name for it is "partial 16S ribosomal RNA". It matches the Rfam family "Bacterial small subunit ribosomal RNA", at positions 524 to 776 of the family's 1533-position model. The record is from RNAcentral.